Molecule: ribosomal RNA, 433 nt
Filed under: uncultured bacterium
Lineage: Bacteria
Description: partial 16S ribosomal RNA
Rfam family: Bacterial small subunit ribosomal RNA
Source: RNAcentral
AACGAACGCUGGCGGCAUGCCUAACACAUGCAAGUCGAACGAGACCUUCGGGUCUAGUGGCGCACGGGUGCGUAACGCGUGGGAACCUGCCCUUAGGUUCGGAAUAACUCAGAGAAAUUUGAGCUAAUACCGGAUAAUGUCUUCGGACCAAAGAUUUAUCGCCUUUGGAUGGGCCCGCGUAGGAUUAGCUUGUUGGUGGGGUAAUGGCCUACCAAGGCGACGAUCCUUAGCUGGUCUGAGAGGAUGAUCAGCCACACUGGGACUGAGACACGGCCCAGACUCCUACGGGGGGCAGCAGUGGGGAAUAUUGGACAAUGGGCGAAAGCCUGAUCCAACAAUGCCGCGUGAGUGAUGAAGGCCUUAGGGUUGUAAAGCUCUUUUACCAGGGAUGAUAAUGACAGUACCUGGAGAAUAAGCUCCGGCUAACUCCGUG